GAUGAACGCUGGCGGCGUGCUUAACACAUGCAAGUCGAACGGUGAAGGCGGAGCUUGCUCUGCUGAAUCAGUGGCGAACGGGUGAGUAACACGUGAGCAAUCUGCCCCUGACUCUGGGAUAAGCGCUGGAAACGGCGUCUAAUACUGGAUACGAGCUGCGAAGGCAUCUUCAGCAGCUGGAAAGAAUUUCGGUCAGGGAUGAGCUCGCGGCCUAUCAGCUUGUUGGUGAGGUAAUGGCUCACCAAGGCGUCGACGGGUAGCCGGCCUGGGAGGGUGACCGGCCACACUGGGACUGAGACACGGCCCAGACUCCUACGGGAGGCAGCAGUGGGGAAUAUUGCACAAUGGGCGAAAGCCUGAUGCAGCAACGCCGCGUGAGGGACGACGGCCUUCGGGUUGUAAACCUCUUUUAGCAGGGAAGAAGCGAAAGUGACGGUACCUGCAGAAAAAGCGCCGGCUAACUACGUG
RNAcentral lists this ribosomal RNA (468 nucleotides) under uncultured bacterium. RNAcentral describes it as "partial 16S ribosomal RNA". It matches the Rfam family "Bacterial small subunit ribosomal RNA", at positions 28 to 507 of the family's 1533-position model. The record is from RNAcentral.